CCUACGGGUGACAGCAGUGAGGAAUAUUGGUCAAUGGCCGGGAGGCUGAACCAGCCAAGUCGCGUGAGGGAAGACGGCCCUACGGGUUGUAAACCUCUUUUGUCAGGGAGCAAGGUGCAGGUCGGGAUCUGCUGUGAGAGUACCUGAAGAAAAAGCAUCGGGAAACUCUGCGCAAGCAGCGGCGGUAAUCCGGAGGAGGAGGGCGUUAUCCGGUUUUAUGGGGGUAAAAGGGUGCGCAGGGGGAGGCAAAGGUCAGCGGUAAAAUCGCGGGGCUAAACCCCGCUCCGCCGUUGAAACUGUGUACCUUGAGUGCGCGAAGGGUAGGCGGAAUGCGUGGUGUAGCGGUGAAAUGCAUAGAUAUCACGAAGAACACCGAUGGCGAAGGCAGCCUACUGGCGCGCAACUGAUGCUCAGGCACGAAAGCGUGGGUAGCGAACAGGAUUAGAUACCCUUGUAGUC
This 459-nucleotide ribosomal RNA is filed under the name uncultured bacterium. Its description in RNAcentral is "partial 16S ribosomal RNA". It matches the Rfam family "Bacterial small subunit ribosomal RNA", at positions 338 to 795 of the family's 1533-position model. The record is from RNAcentral.